AGCCCUCUGUAUCCGUGCUGAGAUUUCGUUGGAGAUCAACCCGUUUCGACUAAUGGUGCUUCUCAGAUAAGUGAAGCU
Molecule: microRNA precursor, 78 nt
Filed under: Trichobilharzia regenti
Lineage: Eukaryota; Metazoa; Platyhelminthes; Trematoda; Strigeidida; Schistosomatidae
Description: mir-3492 microRNA precursor family
Rfam family: mir-3492 microRNA precursor family
Source: Rfam by way of RNAcentral